RNAcentral lists this ribosomal RNA (253 nucleotides) under uncultured bacterium. RNAcentral's name for it is "partial 16S ribosomal RNA". It matches the Rfam family "Bacterial small subunit ribosomal RNA", at positions 524 to 776 of the family's 1533-position model. The record is from RNAcentral.
UACAGAGGUCUCAAGCGUUGUUCGGAUUCAUUGGGCGUAAAGGGUGCGUAGGCGGUCGCGCAAGUCGGAUGUGAAAUCUUAGGGCUCAACCCUGAAACUGCAUUCGAUACUGCGUGGCUUGAGUACUGGAGGGGAGACUGGAAUUUACGGUGUAGCAGUGAAAUGCGUAGAUAUCGUAAGGAAGACCAGUGGCGAAGGCGAGUCUCUGGACAGUUACUGACGCUGAGGCACGAAGGCCAGGGGAGCAAACGGG